This 466-nucleotide ribosomal RNA is filed under the name uncultured bacterium. RNAcentral describes it as "partial 16S ribosomal RNA". It matches the Rfam family "Bacterial small subunit ribosomal RNA", at positions 339 to 795 of the family's 1533-position model. The record is from RNAcentral.
CUACGGGGGGCACCAGUGGGGAAUAUUGGACAAUGGGGGAAACCCUGAUCCAGCAAUGCCGCGUGUGUGAAGAAGGCCUGCGGGUUGUAAAGCACUUUCGGUUGGGAGGACUGCUUCUAGCACUAAUAUUGUUGGAAGUUGACGUUACCUUCAGAAGAAGCACCGGCUAACUCCGUGCCAGCAGCCGCGGGUAAUACGGAGAGUGCAAGCGUUAAUCGGAAGUACUGGGCGUAAAGCGCGCGUAGGCGGCUAGAUCAGUCGGGUGUGAAAGCCCCGGGCUUAACCUGGGAACUGCAUCCGAUACUGUCUAGCUUGAGUACAGGAGAGGAGAGUGGAAUUCCACAUGUAGCGGUGAAAUGCGUAGAUAUGUGGAGGAACACCAAUGGCGAAGGCAGCUCUCUGGCCUGAUACUGACGCUGAGGUGCGAAAGCGUGGGGAGCAAACAGGAUUAGAUACCCGCGUAGUC